This 397-nucleotide ribosomal RNA is filed under the name uncultured bacterium. RNAcentral describes it as "partial 16S ribosomal RNA". It matches the Rfam family "Bacterial small subunit ribosomal RNA", at positions 523 to 918 of the family's 1533-position model. The record is from RNAcentral.
AUACGUAGGUGACAAGCGUUAUCCGGAUUUACUGGGCGUAAAGGGCGUGUAGGCGGUCUUGCAAGUCAGAAGUGAAAUUCCUGAGCUCAACUCGGGCGCUGCUUCUGAAACUGCAGGACUUGAGUGCUGGAGGGGAUAGCGGAAUUCCUAGUGGAGCGGUAAAAUGCGCAGAUAUUAGGAAGAACACCGGUGGCGAAGGCGGCUAUCUGGACAGUAACUGACGCUGAGGCGCGAAAGCGUGGGGAGCAAACAGGAUUAGAUACCCUGGUAGUCCACGCCGCAAACGAUGAAUACUAGGUGUAGGGGGUAUCGACUCCCUCUGUGCCGCAGUUAACACAAUAAGUAUUCCGCCUGGGGAGUACGGCCGCAAGGUUGAAACUCAAAUGAAUUGGCGGGG